AUUGAACGCUGGCGGCAGGCCUAACACAUGCAAGUCGGACGGUAGCACAGGGGAGCUUGCUCCUCGGGUGACGAGUGGCGGACGGGUGAGUAAUGUCUGGGGAUCUGCCCGAUAGAGGGGGAUAACCACUGGAAACGGUGGCUAAUACCGCAUAAUGUCGCAAGACCAAAGAGGGGGACCUUCGGGCCUCUCACUAUCGGAUGAACCCAGAUGGGAUUAGCUAGUAGGCGGGGUAACGGCCCACCUAGGCGACGAUCCCUAGCUGGUCUGAGAGGAUGACCAGCCACGCUGGAACUGAGACACGGUCCAGACUCCUACGGGAGGCAGCAGUGGGGAAUAUUGCACAAUGGGCGCAAGCCUGAUGAAGCCAUGCCGCGUGUAUGAAGAAGGCCUUCGGGUUGUAAAGUACUUUCAGCGGGGAGGAAGGCGAUGUGGUUAAUAACCGCGUCGAUUGACGUUACCCGCAGAAGAAGCACCGGCUAACUCCGUGCCAGCAGCCGCAGUAA
This 506-nucleotide ribosomal RNA is filed under the name uncultured bacterium. RNAcentral describes it as "partial 16S ribosomal RNA". It matches the Rfam family "Bacterial small subunit ribosomal RNA", at positions 29 to 523 of the family's 1533-position model. The record is from RNAcentral.